RNAcentral lists this ribosomal RNA (442 nucleotides) under uncultured bacterium. RNAcentral describes it as "partial 16S ribosomal RNA". It matches the Rfam family "Bacterial small subunit ribosomal RNA", at positions 338 to 795 of the family's 1533-position model. The record is from RNAcentral.
CCUACGGGAGGCAGCAGUGGGGAAUAUUGGGCAAUGGGCGCAAGCCUGACCCAGCAACGCCGCGUGAAGGAAGAAGGCUUUCGGGUUGUAAACUUCUUUUAAGAGGGAAGAGCAGAAGACGGUACCUCUUGAAUAAGCCACGGCUAACUACGUGCCAGCAGCCGCGGUAAGACGUAGGUAGCAAGCGUUGUGCGGAUUUACUGGGUGUAAAGUGCGUGUAGGCGGGCUGACAAGUCAGAUGUGAAAGCCCGGGGCUCAACCACGGAACUGCAUUUGAAACUGUCGGUCUUGAGUAUCGGAGAGGCAAGCGGAAUUCCUAGUGUAGCGGUGAAAUGCGUAGAUAUUAGGAGGAACACCAGUGGCGAAGGCGGACUGCUGGACGACAACUGACGGUGAGGCGCGAAAGCGUGGGGAGCAAACAGGAUUAGAUACCCGUGUAGUC